GAUGAACGCUGGCGGCGUGCCUAAUACAUGCAAGUCGAGCGAACGGACGAGAAGCUUGCUUCUCUGAUGUUAGCGGCGGACGGGUGAGUAACACGUGGAUAACCUACCUAUAAGACUGGGAUAACUUCGGGAAACCGGAGCUAAUACCGGAUGAUAUUUUGAACCGCAUGGUUCAAAAGUGAAAGACGGUCUUGCCGUCACUUAUAGAUGGAUCCGCGCUGCAUUAGCUAGUUGGUAAGGUAACGGCUUACCAAGGCAACGAUGCAUAGCCGACCUGAGAGGGUGAUCGGCCACACUGGAACUGAGACACGGUCCAGACUCCUACGGGAGGCAGCAGUAGGGAAUCUUCCGCAAUGGGCGAAAGCCUGACGGAGCAACGCCGCGUGAGUGAUGAAGGUCUUCGGAUCGUAAAACUCUGUUAUUAGGGAAGAACAUAUGUGUAAGUAACUGUGCACAUCUUGACGGUACCUAAUCAGAAAGCCACGGCUAACUACGUGCCAGCAGCCGCGGUAAUACGUAGGUGGCAAGCGUUAUCCGGAAUUAUUGGGGGUAAAGCGCGCGUAGCGGUUUUUUAGUCUGAUGUGAAAGCCCACGGCUCAACCGUGGAGGGUCAUUGGAAACUGGAAAACUUGAGUGCAGAAGAGGAAAGUGGAAUUCCAUGUGUAGCGGUGAAAUGCGCAGAGAUAUGGAGGAACACCAGUGGCGAAGGCGACUUUCUGGUCUGUAACUGACGCUGAUGUGCGAAAGCGUGGGGAUCAAACAGGAUUAGAUACCCUGGUAGUCCACGCCGUAAACGAUGAGUGCUAAGUGUUAGGGGGUUUCCGCCCCUUAGUGCUGCAGCUAACGCAUUAAGCACUCCGCCUGGGGAGUACGACCGCAAGGUUGAAACUCAAAGGAAUUGACGGGGACCCGCACAAGCGGUGGAGCAUGUGGUUUAAUUCGAAGCAACGCGAAGAACCUUACCAAAUCUUGACAUCCUUUGACAACUCUAGAGAUAGAGCUUUCCCCUUCGGGGGACAAAGUGACAGGUGGUGCAUGGUUGUCGUCAGCUCGUGUCGUGAGAUGUUGGGUUAAGUCCCGCAACGAGCGCAACCCUUAAGCUUAGUUGCCAUCAUUAAGUUGGGCACUCUAAGUUGACUGCCGGUGACAAACCGGAGGAAGGUGGGGAUGACGUCAAAUCAUCAUGCCCCUUAUGAUUUGGGCUACACACGUGCUACAAUGGACAAUACAAAGGGCAGCGAAACCGUGAGGUCAAGCAAAUCCCAUAAAGUUGUUCUCAGUUCGGAUUGUAGUCUGCAACUCGACUACAUGAAGCUGGAAUCGCUAGUAAUCGUAGAUCAGCAUGCUACGGUGAAUACGUUCCCGGGUCU
Molecule: ribosomal RNA, 1370 nt
Filed under: uncultured bacterium
Lineage: Bacteria
Description: bacterial SSU rRNA
Rfam family: Bacterial small subunit ribosomal RNA
Source: RNAcentral